This 387-nucleotide ribosomal RNA is filed under the name uncultured bacterium. RNAcentral describes it as "bacterial SSU rRNA". It matches the Rfam family "Bacterial small subunit ribosomal RNA", at positions 28 to 416 of the family's 1533-position model. The record is from RNAcentral.
GACGAACGCUGGCGGCGUGCUUAACACAUGCAAGUCGAGCGGUAAGGCCCUUUCGGGGGUACACGAGCGGCGAACGGGUGAGUAACACGUGGGUGACCUGCCCUCAGCUCUGGGAUAAGCCUGGGAAACUGGGGUCUAAUACUGGAUAUGACUCCACGGUGCAUGUCGUGGGGUGGAAAGCCUUGCGCGGCUGAGGAUGGGCCCGCGGCCUAUCAGCUUGUUGGUGGGGUGANGGCCUACCAAGGCGACGACGGGUAGCCGGCCUGAGAGGGCGACCGGCCACACUGGGACUGAGACACGGCCCAGACUCCUACGGGAGGCAGCAGUGGGGAAUCUUGCGCAAUGGGCGAAAGCGUGACGCAGCAACGCCGCGUGGGGAAGAAGGCC